Molecule: transfer RNA, 73 nt
Filed under: Marmota monax (woodchuck)
Lineage: Eukaryota; Metazoa; Chordata; Mammalia; Rodentia; Sciuridae
Description: tRNA.Ala
Source: RNAcentral
GUGGGGUUGUAGUUCAGUGGCAGAGCACUUGCCUAGCAUGUGUGAGGUGCUGGGUUUGAGCCUCAGCACCACA